Molecule: ribosomal RNA, 539 nt
Filed under: Metarhizium sp. INBio3694B
Lineage: Eukaryota; Fungi; Ascomycota; Sordariomycetes; Hypocreales; Clavicipitaceae
Description: eukaryotic LSU rRNA
Rfam family: 5.8S ribosomal RNA (bases 157-310)
Source: RNAcentral
GACCUGCGGAGGGAUCAUUACCGAGUUAUCCAACUCCCAACCCCUGUGAAUUAUACCUUUAAUUGUUGCUUCGGCGGGACUUCGCGCCCGCCGGGGACCCAAACCUUCUGAAUUUUUUAAUAAGUAUCUUCUGAGUGGUUAAAAAAAAUGAAUCAAAACUUUCAACAACGGAUCUCUUGGUUCUGGCAUCGAUGAAGAACGCAGCGAAAUGCGAUAAGUAAUGUGAAUUGCAGAAUUCAGUGAAUCAUCGAAUCUUUGAACGCACAUUGCGCCCGUCAGUAUUCUGGCGGGCAUGCCUGUUCGAGCGUCAUUACGCCCCUCAAGUCCCCUGUGGACUUGGUGUUGGGGAUCGGCGAGGCUGGUUUUCCAGCACAGCCGUCCCUCAAAUCAAUUGGCGGUCUCGCCGUGGCCCUCCUCUGCGCAGUAGUAAAACACUCGCAACAGGAGCCCGGCGCGGUCCACUGCCGUAAAACCCCCCAACUUUUUAUAGUUGACCUCGAAUCAGGUAGGACUACCCGCUGAACUUAAGCAUAUCAUAG